RNAcentral lists this ribosomal RNA (1201 nucleotides) under Nedyus quadrimaculatus. RNAcentral describes it as "partial 16S ribosomal RNA". The stretch from base 1046 to 1201 matches the Rfam family "Archaeal large subunit ribosomal RNA", at positions 2544 to 2698 of the family's 2987-position model. The record is from RNAcentral. Lineage: Eukaryota; Metazoa; Arthropoda; Insecta; Coleoptera; Curculionidae.
AAAUUAAAAUCUUAUUGAUUUAUAAAAUUUUAGAUUUGAUAAAAAAAGUGAUUUUUUAUUUUUAUUAAUGAGUAUGAAUAAAUUAAUUUAAUGAUAGGGAAUUUGUAUUGAGAAAGAUAGGUUUUAUUUUAUAAAAAGAAUAAUUUAUUUUUAGUACCUUGUGUAUCAGGGUUUAUUGAAAAAAAUUUAUGAAUUAGAAAUUUCUCGAACUUAAAAGAGCUAUACUGGUAUAAUUUUUAUUGUAGAAUAAAUAUUAUCAAUAUUGGUAUAGAAGUGAAAUAUUAUUCGAUUUUAAAUAUAUCUAGUUUUUAAAGAAAAAAAUUUAAUUUUAUUUCUAUUUAAGUAUUAAUUUAAAUUUGUAAAUUAAUAUUAGUAAGAUUUUAUACUCUAAGGGAUGAGCUUUAGAGUAAAUCAAUAAAAAUUAUUAUGAUUGUUUUUAAUAAGUAGAAUUAUUAGUUUUUGUCUUUUAUAGUGUUUUAUAACUAUUUAAAAAAAAAUAUUAUUUAUAUAAAUUUUAUUUAUUUUAUUUAAAUACAAAUUUUAAUUUAAUAAAUUUGGUAAUAAUGAUAAAAUUAGUAUAGUAAAUUGUUAAAUAGAUCUAAAUAUUUUAGGUUUUAUAAAGGAAUUCGGCAAAUGUAUUUUUCACCUGUUUAUCAAAAACAUGGCCUUUUGAUUUGAAUUUAAGGUCUGGCCUGCUCAAUGAAUUUUUAAUAGCCGCAGUAUCUUAACUGUGCAAAGGUAGCAUAAUCAUUAGUUUUUUAAUUGAAAGCUAGAAUGAACGGUCGAAUGAGAAAAUUUCUGUCUCUAUAAAAAUUUUAUAGAAUUUUAUUUUUAAGUUAAAAAGCUUAAAUAUGGGUAAAAGACGAGAAGACCCUAUAGAGUUUAAUAUUUAUUAAUUAUUUUUUUUUUUAGUAUUUUAAGAUUAAUAAUUUUAUGGUAUUUAAUUGGGGUGAUUGGAAAAUUAAUUAAACUUUUCUUAUAAAUAGACAUUUAUUUAUGAAAUUAUGAUCCUUUAAUAAAGAUUAUAAGAUAAAAUUACCUUAGGGAUAACAGCGUAAUUUUUUUUAAGAGUUCUUAUCGAAAAAAAAGAUUGCGACCUCGAUGUUGGAUUAAAAUAAAUUUUUGGUGUAGAAGCUAAAUUUAAUUGGGUCUGUUCGACCCUUAAUAUUUUACAUGAUCUGAGUUCAAACCGGCGUAAGCC